Molecule: long non-coding RNA, 5107 nt
Filed under: Sus scrofa (pig)
Lineage: Eukaryota; Metazoa; Chordata; Mammalia; Artiodactyla; Suidae
Description: lncRNA (ENSSSCG00040067867.1)
Source: RNAcentral
GGGUUGGAGAGAGCCUGGGUGAACCUUGGCACAUUAUCCCCAAAAGGCCCCUAUGAAGUCUUGUAUUUGUGUCCCCUGUAGUGGCAUUCCUAGGUUUGGGUACCAUUUCAGUGGAAUCGGGGAAAUGAUCUAGAAGAACAGGAUUGGGGGGAGGUGGGCGACCGGAUCAUUUCAAGAGGUUGAGGUGUUUGUAUUGUCAUUUCCUGGAGAAGGAAGUGGGGAGGGGAGGGGAGGGGCGCCUUCCUCAGCAUCUCACCCUUCCCCUCACCCCUCUUCCCAGAGCAGCAUCAUGAAUUUGCAGGUCCCAAUACUGCUGACAUUUCUCACCACUGACACCUUCCUGGGACUUCUGAAGAUAUUGGGGUUAGGUCUUAAUUAAAUGGUGACUUCCUUUGAGGGCAAGGAGCAAGUGAUCUCUAGGGGCUGGGAGGUGUCUCCACCAGCCCACCAUGCAGACAGGGUCUGCCCCACAAGACCCCCAGGCUGCUCCCUCUGAGACAGGUGGGAUCUAGUGCUUUGUGUUUGGAAACACUAGUGGUUUAUAUCAGUCAGAGGCUUUGAGAACACUUGAUGUGGACCCAGUGUGCCCAGCAUGCAGUUUGUGAAACCAGGGUUUAUUUUGCAUGACUCUUGGGGAGCCCAAUAGAAGCAAACAGUCCUAGUGGUUGUCACUACGCACCUGCACUGCUACCUGAGCCACCUGAGCCUUUGGUCCACGAAGCACCCGGUGUGACCCUCCUUGCAAAUCCUUGGGCUGUGAUUUCAGGCUGGACCUUCGCCAGGCUGGCUGGCUUCUCAACUCUGUUUCCCUGGGGGAUGGGUUUGUGAUGAGUCAGAUUGAUGUGGAGCCUGGUGAGCUCUGUGUGUCUUGUCAGCAAAGCAGGAGGCCCACAGUCUCUGGCUUAUACGUUGAAUUAGCCUACUCACGUGGGGUGCUGCAAGCAGGUAAUGUUGUGGAUUACUCUUGGCAGGAAAGCCAGCCUGGCUAUGCUGAGAAUCUGGAUGCAGACAGCCCGUCCCCGGUCUGGCUGCUCAUGCGCCGUGCGAGCUUGGCCUCACUUUUCUUUCUCAUCUGUAAUAUGGGAGCAGGCUUCCUUCUUUCCUUAUUAGGAUCAUUAACAGGAAUGGUCCAGCCAAGUGCAGCUGCGUGCGCCUGGCACUGGGCCACUUAGGAAAUGGUUGCUUCCACUGUGAGCACUGUCAGAGUCCCUCCUGCGGGACAGGUACUUUUCUGCCUCCCCUUUCUUAUUCAGGCCUUGGGAGAGUCCCUUUAGGUGGGUGUCGUUUCUGGAACCGAACUGGAGUUUUCUGCCAUCAUUUCCAGGGGCCUCAGGCUGUGAGAACCUCACUCCCAUAAGACCCAUAUAUCUCACGUUGGCCCAGCCCUUCAACACCUUCGAAUCCAGCCAACAAUGCGGCGAGGCUAGUGACUGUCUUCAUUUUUGUACGUGGGGGACUGGACUGGGAAGGUCUUGUCGCUGUGUUGGGUCAGCUGGUUGCCAUGGACAUGGACCAUGAGUCUCCUGCCCCGUGGAGGGCUCCCCUUCUGAGACCACAGCAGCUCCCUCAUAAGAUGUCUGAGUUCUGGGCCCAGGACCUUGAGGUCCCAUGUCCCAACCGGCACCCCAUGCUCUAGAAGGCCCCCCUGUGACUGUGGCCUCUUGAUGGGGAAAACAAUCAGCUGGUGGAGGGGAGAUGCCAUCUGGGGCCCACGCCCCCCCCCCCUUUUCCAGAGCUUGCCCUAGAAUUUUCUGCCUGAAGAUCCCUGAGCUGGCUUUCAAGCCAUCCUGCCUGGGGCCGUUUGUGCGCCUACACCUCAGUCAGAGAGUGGCCAGCUGUGACCAGGAUGGAGAUGUGCGGGCGGGGGUGUGCACAGGCGAGGGGGAGGCCACAAGGAAUGACAGGAGAAGGGGAACGGGCUGUAGGCUGAGAUGCUGCCCUGGGCCCAGCACACACUGAGGGCAGCUGGGUUCCGUGGGGACUGGGCUCUGGCCGCGCACCAGGGAAAAGGAGGCACACGGUCUGCGUGUCAGCUCUGACGGCAUCUGCAUCAUUGUACAACGUUAGAACCGGGGGCGGGAGGCUGAAGCAGACCCAUACCCUCAGUGAAGAGCCUGUCCGGUGGCCUGUGAGGUUAGCCCAGACUGUUCCCCAAGUUGAUUUUUCCAUGUUUCUUUUUUUUUCUUAUCCAAGAGACGGUAGGGACGCGCUUCGAGAUUGCUGCUGUUCUGAGAGCACGUCAGUUUUCUCCGUGGUGAUUCUGUCCUUCACGUGAUAAGAUUGUGAGACCAUGGUUGAUUCCACCAGGCUUGGCAUCCACCCCCAUUUCCCGACCCUCUCGAGCUCCUUCCCAAUUCCCUGGAGAUUGGAUGGGCACCAGUGCCCUCUUCUCUCUCUCAAGUGUACUUGGCGUCGCUCUCCAUGGAAAAUAAGGGCUGAAAGUGUUCUGGAAGACCAAGUGAAGAAUGGCAGAGUAGUAGAAGUACCACAUAAGGUAAUGAAAUGGAAUAAUCUGCUUUUCACUUGCCAGCUCCCCCAGGGGCACGGCACACCGCCUCAUCAAUCAGUCCCCCUUGUCCACUGCUCACCCCUUGCCGGUGGAGAGGUGGCCCAGGUGUGGCUGGCAGGCCAGCCUGGAGUCUUCCAGCUGGGCCACCUCCUGGCAUGAUGUGGGGCCUGUGGGGUUGUAGAGGUGAAAGGGCCAGGCACGCUUCUGUCUUCUAAGGCUGUGCGAGUACGAGGGACAGAGGUUUGCAGGCGGAACCCCAUCUCGGGCGGCCUCUGUCUGACUACAGUGUCUGCGACUGCAGAGCAUCCGCUGCUGUGGUUGUGCUUUUGAUAGGUUCCAGGUGCCGUCUUACAAGCUCAGGCUCUGAAGCUCGAUUGGAGUCCUGGUUUCUACUAUUUGCCUCCAUGGGACCUUGGAUCCGGCCCUUAACCUCUACGCGGCGCUCCCCCCCCCCCCCCCCCUUACCUGUAAUAGCACCCACCUCCAUCUGGGCAUUGUGAAGUGAAUGCGCUAGUAUCUUUUUUAAAAAAUUUUUUAUUAGAGUUGAUUUACCUUGUUCUGUCAACUUCUGCUGUGCAGCCAAGUGACCCAGUCAUACAUCUGUACAGACUCUCUUUCUCAUAUUGCCUUCUAUCAUGUUUCAUCACAAGUGAUUGGACAUAGUGCCCCGUGCUAUACAGCAGGACCUCAUUGCCUAUCCAUUCUAAAUGUAACACUUUACAUCUAUUAACCCCGAACUCCCAGUCCACCUCUCCCUCCCUACCUCAGCAACUUGCCAGAAAAUCAAUAAGGCAACAGAGAUCCUAAAUGCCUUAGUAUCUUUAAGUGCUUGUGCCACCACCACCCAGCACUGACAUGUGAAUGCGGAUGGCAGUUCUUUAGCUUCUGUUACCUCUUCUGCUUUUCCAGCGAGGAGACCGAGGCUUUGGUCAAGCGCUUCUCCAGGUCUGAAGCCCUGGGUGCUGUUGCCACCCAGUGCUGGGGCUGGGAUAAAGCUCAGGAGCCCAGAGUGCAGUUCUGUGGGAUUCUAGGGUGUGGAGAGUGCUGAGGUGGGGGGAGAACAGGGGUCUCCUGCCGUGGUUCUUGCCUUGGGGCAAGGCGUUUGUGGUAACCGGUGCUGGGGAGAGUGGGGCCCUGGGCAGAGGGAGGAGAGGGGAGGGGUGGGAAAGGAGGCUGCAGAGGCCCCCCCUCUUACCUGGAUAUUCCAGUUCUUCCUCCAGGAAGACCCAUUUCUUACAGAGUGAGUUGGGUCUUGGGGAAGCAAAGCUGGGCUGGAGAGAAUAUGGAACUGAGUUGACAUCUUCCUCCUCUGAUGCCCCCCUCUUUUUGUUCGUAUUCUGGACACUUCAGGGGCCAACUUUGGGGAUCCCACGUCCCAAGCGUUACUGCCUUCCUCUCCAAGUGGAGGAUUAGAUGUUCCUCAACUGGGGGCACCCAGACUCCAAAUGGCCCUCUCUUCUACGAGCAGUUGGGGACUUUUCGGCUCACCUGUCCAGUAUCGGCUCAAGCAGCUGUGACCUCUAGAGAGAUGAUCUGGUCCUGUGUCUUCUGGAGCCACUGAAAGGCAGGACUAGAGUGAGGAGAAAACAUUUCAGACUGGUUGAAGUAGAAUUUUGAUUAAAAGUGGGUUUAUUAUCAAAACAAUGUUUUCAUGGGUGACAUUUUGAAAGACAGACAAUUGUAAAGAAGAUAAAACAAGUCAGCCAGAUAAUAACCCUUCACAGCAUUUUGGUGUGUUUUCCCUUUAACUCAAACUCACUCCCUACCUUCCUCUCUUCCUUCCUUUCUCCCUCCCUCCCUUCUUUCCAUCAUUUAUCUGCCUAUCACUUGCACACCUGUAUGGAAUGCCCACUUAAGCUGGGCUCUGUAUCACCUAGACAGCUCAAGAAGUUGAGUCUAGGGGAAGACUAGACACAUGACCUAGAGGGAUUACAGAGAACAGAGGGCUGUGAAGACAGGGAUGCAGGGGCCUCAGAAACCCUGAUGAAGGAGGGGCCACCUCUGCCUGCACAACAGGUGACCCCCGGACUUCGGCAUGGGUGCCUUUCCACGUUCUUCUCUACACAUUUGGGUCAUAUAACCUGAUUUUUUCCACUUACUGUUAGAGCAUUCCCUUGUGUCCAUGAAUAUUUAAAACAGGUUUUAAAAAGAGCCUUAGCAUUGUGCUUUUUAGGCUUGCACCACUGAGUGGCCUUGUCUCUGACAUAUGCUGGCCAAAGCGGAGGACAGGAGGGGCCCCAUGACCAAGUGCAAGGCAUGGAAUGGCCCCCAAGAAGAGCUCAGAAUGGCUAGUUUUCUUUCCUCCUUCUCUUUGCUCUCCUUUGCCCCUUUUGCUAUUUCAGCCUGAAACCUGGGGAAGGGAGUUCCUGUUGUGGCACGGCGGAAACGAAUCUGAGUAGGAACCAUGAGGUUUGGGGUUCAAUCCCUGGCCUCGCUCAGUGGGUUAAGGAUCUGGCGUUGCUGUGGGCUGUAGUGCAGGUCGCAGAUGUGGCUUGGAUCCCGCAUUGCUGUGGCUGUGGUUUAGACUGGCAGCUUUAGCUCCAAUUUGAUCCCUAGCCUGGGAACUUCCAAAUGCCUCAGGUGUGGCCCUAAAAAAGC